AUACGGAGGGUGCAAGCGUUAAUCGGAAUUACUGGGCGUAAAGCGUACGUAGGCGGUUUAUUAAGUCAGAUGUGAAAGCCCCGGGCUUAACCUGGGAACUGCAUUUGAAACUAGUAGACUAGAGUACGGUAGAGGGGGGUAGAAUUCCUAGUGUAGCGGUGAAAUGCGUAGAUAUUAGGAGGAAUACCAGUGGCGAAGGCGGCCCCCUGGACCAAUACUGACGCUGAGGUACGAAAGCGUGGGGAGCGAACAGGAUUAGAUACCCCGGUAGUCC
RNAcentral lists this ribosomal RNA (274 nucleotides) under uncultured bacterium. RNAcentral describes it as "partial 16S ribosomal RNA". It matches the Rfam family "Bacterial small subunit ribosomal RNA", at positions 523 to 796 of the family's 1533-position model. The record is from RNAcentral.